Molecule: long non-coding RNA, 398 nt
Filed under: Panax ginseng (ginseng)
Lineage: Eukaryota; Viridiplantae; Streptophyta; Magnoliopsida; Apiales; Araliaceae
Description: long non-coding RNA (PGIN_LNC015233)
Source: RNAcentral
AUGCAUUAAUGUGGAUGGGAUUCUUGGACGGCCGGCGGUAGCAAACAGUGACCACAGGUAGUGGGUGGACUGUAUCCAGUCGGCAGAAACCAUCAGAUCAGGGGGUUGUGUCAGAGGUAGUGGGUGACACGAUAAAUCGGGCUAGAGAGCAUAUCAUAGCGAGGGGGUCUUCAAAGAAAAAGGUACACACACAUAACUGAUAAUUUUAUCUCUCUUAAUACACUAGAUAUUUUAUCCUCCAUUGUUAACCCUUGUGAUCGCCUGUACUGACUCUCACGCCUGAGCUAUCCCCCGACGGUCGAAGCCAUCAAACUUUUGGUGUUGACAGUGUUUAGUGUGCAGGAUCAGAACGUCUUACGUGAUUGGGACGUGGCAGAAGAUCUUGACGACCAAAAAAC